CAAUAGCGUAUAUUAAAGUUGUUGCAGUUAAAAAGCUCGUAGUCGGAUUUCUGGUGGGAGCGAUCGGUCUGGCGCUUAGCGCGAGUACUUGCAUCGUCUCCGGCCAUCCUUGGGGAGAGUCUGUCUGGCAUUAGGUUGUCGGGCAGAGGAUCCUCAUCGUUUACUGUGAAAAAAUUAGAGUGUUCAAAGCAGGCUUAUGCCGUUGAAUAUAUUAGCAUGGAAUAAUAAGAUAGGACUUUGGUACUAUUUUGUUGGUUUGCGCACCAAAGUAAUGAUUAAUAGGGACAGUUGGGGGUAUUCGUAUUCCGUUGUCAGAGGUGAAAUUCUUGGAUUACGGAAGACGAACUACUGCGAAAGCAUUUACCAAGGAUGUUUUCAUUAA
Molecule: ribosomal RNA, 382 nt
Filed under: uncultured eukaryote
Lineage: Eukaryota
Description: partial 18S ribosomal RNA
Rfam family: Eukaryotic small subunit ribosomal RNA
Source: RNAcentral